AGGGGGACAACAGUUGGAAACGACUGCUAAUACCGCAUACGAUCCUAAUCUCGGCAUCGAGGAUGAUGAAAGGUGGCCUCUACAUGUAAGCUAUCACUGAAGGAGGGGAUUGCGUCUGAUUAGCUAGUUGGAGGGGUAACGGCCCACCAAGGCGAUGAUCAGUAGCCGGUCUGAGAGGAUGAACGGCCACAUUGGGACUGAGACACGGCCCAG
Molecule: ribosomal RNA, 213 nt
Filed under: uncultured bacterium
Lineage: Bacteria
Description: partial 16S ribosomal RNA
Rfam family: Bacterial small subunit ribosomal RNA
Source: RNAcentral